Vicia villosa (hairy vetch) is the source of this 783-nucleotide long non-coding RNA. RefSeq lists it as uncharacterized. The record is from RefSeq and is a predicted model, not a curated record. The transcript has 3 exons. NCBI's taxonomy places the organism in Eukaryota, Viridiplantae, Streptophyta, Magnoliopsida, Fabales, Fabaceae.
CAUUUAUUUAGGAGAGCAAAGAGAAUAUGGCAAACAAGAAAAGAAGAACUCAUGCAUCAAUUUCCAUUUUCGUAUUCCCAUGGCAGCCUCCACUAAAUCAGCUUCUGUUUUGAAGGAGAAAACUGAGCUUGAAGUUGUGUCAGUCAUGCUGAAUGUGUGAAUGGAGGGAUACGGGUUUGAUGAGUUUGGAGUUGGAGUUUUGGUCAAGUUAGGAGCUCAAUUGCAGCAUGUUCAUCAUCCAAAGCUCCAUUGAUGCAAGGUGUAGUUUAGUAGCGUUUGACAGAUAGCAGGUUCGGAUUGACGGCUUAAAGUGGUGAUGGCUCGGAGACCUCGUCAGAUCUCAUUUUCCGCUGUGCAGAUCCAUUGAAGACACAUGUGUUGUAAUUCUUAGUAGAAUUUCAUGUUGUAUUUUAUAUGGAUCUCUCUAUAUCUAUAGCUUUUGUAUGUACUCAAUAUCAAUUUUAACGUUUCAUGCAUAAUAUACUAGUCAGUUAUGUAUGGGGUGUUACAGCACAAUCAUUAUGUCAAGAUUUCGUGAUUUUGGUUUUAAUCUAUUCGAAGCGAGUUUUCAAGGAAGACAUUAUCUGAUAAUUAUUCAGGUUUAUUUCUCAUAUUUACGUGCGGUGUGGACCAUCUCUUUAUUUGAAAUUCAUGGUUGUCAAAGUUAUCGCUUAAUUCGGAGAUUGCUUGAAUUUGAAGAAAAGGGCAAAAUUGGAAUACAAGAAAACAUUUCAUUCAUUGGAAAUUUAAAGUUACAUUAUGAAUCAUUUGAGAUACAAGCCG